UCGUUCGCAUGAACAACGCUUAAAAGAUGGCUUCUCGCUAUCACUUCUGGAUGGACCUGCGGUGCAUUAGCUUGUUGGUGGGGUAAUGGCCUACCAAGGCGAUGAUGCAUAGCCGAGUUGAGAGACUGAUCGGCCACAAUGGGACUGAGACACGGCCCAUACUCCUACGGGAGGCAGCAGUAGGGAAUCUUCCACAAUGGGCGCAAGCCUGAUGGAGCAACACCGCGUGAGUGAAGAAGGGUUUCGGCUCGUAAAGCUCUGUUGUUAAAGAAGAACACGUAUGAGAGUAACUGUUCAUACGUUGACGGUAUUUAACC
This 317-nucleotide ribosomal RNA is filed under the name Limosilactobacillus fermentum. Its description in RNAcentral is "bacterial SSU rRNA". It matches the Rfam family "Bacterial small subunit ribosomal RNA", at positions 182 to 484 of the family's 1533-position model. The record is from RNAcentral. Lineage: Bacteria; Bacillati; Bacillota; Bacilli; Lactobacillales; Lactobacillaceae.